ACACCUGUAGGUUAUUCCCAGUGAGAAUCGUGGCUAUCAUGAACCCCUCAGCAUGCAGCUGGCAGCCAUUUGCAUGUAAAUACACCAGCAGCCAAAAAGUAUAUGAGGAAUUAGGUUGUAAGGACUUUUCCCUUCUUGCUUUUCCCCACCAGGAGCUGUGCUGGGUGCUCUGGGAUAGACUGGAGAGCUGCCUGCCCCGUCUUGUUUGGAGUGACACAGCCAGCUCUUCCUGUGAAUUUACAACACAGAAGAUAACGUAAUGCUGUAGAGGGACAGAACCGUGCAAGUACUUGUUGGCCGGGCAGGACACACAAGCUAUUUCCAAAGGGUUGUGUAGCACAGGCCCUUCUGCAAUGGGGACCUCAUCUGGGUCUUCAUCUCUACUUCCAGGGUUCUUCCAAACACUGGAUGCUUCUUGUUGCCGAAAUUUCUACCAGUCCUUUAGAUAUGACCAAAUCAGGUCAACAGUUAUGAAAUUCAAUGUGAAGGUUGGGUGGCUGAAGGGUCAUCAGAGUGUCAGUCCAAAAAGUCAUCUGUGUGGAUGGCUGAAUUGCCAAAAAUAUUUUACUUAAGUCCAGAUGUCUGGAAAUCAGAAGAUCUUGGAUAGCUUCCUCUUCUGGUCUCAAAUGAUUUUGCUCAUUCAUGCUUCACUGGCAGUUCUAGAUCCUCUAGGGUGAGGAUGAGAGCACACAAAGCUCUUCUGAAGGAUUUCCCCACAAACUGGAAGCACCAGAGUUUUGCAAGAGCUUCUUCUGUAGUGUGGAACUAUGACUAAAGAGACCUUGGUGGUUCUUGCUCCAUUACAGCUGACAAUGCCCUGUGUGAACUUAGAUAUGUGAAUGCCCCCACCUCUGUUCCCCAACGAGAAACAGACCCACAUUUGACCUCUGAAACCCAAUGCUCCAAUGUUUCUCCAGAAUUUUCCCCUCUGAUCUGUGCAGUCACCACAAAUUGGCCCCAUUUUGGACUUUCCUCCUGCGGAGAGUGGCUAUUAGAUUCAACAGGCUCAUGUGCUAACAAGGUUUUUCCAGGAUUUUGAGAUUUUCUUAGGAACAUCUGCUCUGAUCAUAAGGCCAAAAAUGAGGUAGUGCAGAAAGUGGUGCGUAAGAAUGUUAAUUAUUUCCCAAACAGUAAUACUGGUAGUUUCUAUUGUAUUCCUUCAAAAAAAAAAAAAAACACAACAGCACUUGUUGACCUUCAAACACUGUAAACAAGGAAGCUGAAGUCUCAAACAACCCUGUUUCUAAAAGCUUCUUGUAA
Molecule: long non-coding RNA, 1260 nt
Filed under: Anas platyrhynchos platyrhynchos (common mallard)
Lineage: Eukaryota; Metazoa; Chordata; Aves; Anseriformes; Anatidae
Description: lncRNA (ENSAPLG00000023325.1)
Source: RNAcentral